RNAcentral lists this non-coding RNA (21 nucleotides) under Arabidopsis thaliana (thale cress). Lineage: Eukaryota; Viridiplantae; Streptophyta; Magnoliopsida; Brassicales; Brassicaceae. The record is from RNAcentral.
UAUUUGCUAGGGUUUUGCAUC